GACGAACGCUGGCGGCGUGCUUAACACAUGCAAGUCGAACGGAAAGGCCUCUUUCGGGGGGUACUCGAGUGGCGAACGGGUGAGUAACACGUGAGUAACCUGCCCUUUACUUUGGGUUAACUUCAGGAAACUGGGGCUAAUACCGGAUAGGAGCUCCUGCUGCAUGGUGGGGGUUGGAAAGUUUCGGCGGUUGGGGGUGGACUCGCGGGUUAUCAGCUUGUUUGUGGGGUAGUGGCUUACCAAGGCUUUGACGGGUAGCCGGCCUGAGGGGGUGAACGGCCACAUUGGGACUGAGAGACGGCCCAGACACCGACGGGAGGCAGCAGGGGGGAAUAUUGAACAAUGGGUGGAAGCCUGAUGCAGCAACGCCGUGUGCGGGAUGACGGCCUUCGGGUUGUAAACCGCUUUCGCUCAUGACGAAGCUUUGUGUGACGGUAGUGGGUAAAGAAGCACCGGCUAACUACGUG
Molecule: ribosomal RNA, 467 nt
Filed under: uncultured bacterium
Lineage: Bacteria
Description: partial 16S ribosomal RNA
Rfam family: Bacterial small subunit ribosomal RNA
Source: RNAcentral